AAUUGACUAGGUAUUUUCAUGCGCGUAGCGAAACUCUCGUGAAGUCCGAUCAAAAUUUGAACCAGCUCAAACCAGUUUAAUGUGUUUGAGAGAAAAUCUCUGAUUCAAAAAGGUAUACAGGGGGAAGUGGAGAUAUGGGGAGGAGGGCUAUAUAGACAAAUUCGGAGUUUCCACUGCGCAUCCAAAUGACGCAUUCUACGCUGGAAACAAAUUGCAGUUGAACUAUAUGACAUGCAUCUGAGACUGGAAGAAUGCGAAUAUGCAUAUCAAAGUGUUUUCAACAGUUCAAUCAUCAUUUGAAUAUGCAAAAGUUGCUCACAG
Non-coding RNA from Paramuricea clavata, 321 nucleotides. NCBI's taxonomy places the organism in Eukaryota, Metazoa, Cnidaria, Anthozoa, Malacalcyonacea, Plexauridae. The record is from the annotation of a GenBank genome assembly.